Molecule: transfer RNA, 72 nt
Filed under: Sphaerodactylus townsendi
Lineage: Eukaryota; Metazoa; Chordata; Lepidosauria; Squamata; Sphaerodactylidae
Description: tRNA-Ala
Rfam family: tRNA
About the family: Transfer RNA (tRNA) molecules are approximately 80 nucleotides in length. Their secondary structure includes four short double-helical elements and three loops (D, anti-codon, and T loops).
Source: RNAcentral
GGGGCUGUGGCUCAGUGGUAGAACAUCUGCUUGGCACGCAAAAGGGCUUAAGUUCAAUCUCUGGCAUCUCCA